Molecule: ribosomal RNA, 464 nt
Filed under: uncultured bacterium
Lineage: Bacteria
Description: partial 16S ribosomal RNA
Rfam family: Bacterial small subunit ribosomal RNA
Source: RNAcentral
CUACGGGCGGCAGCAGUUAGGAAUAUUCGUCAAUGGGGGAAACCCUGAACGAGCAAUGCCGCGUGAGUGAUGAAGGUCCUUUGGAUUGUAAAACUCUGUUGUAAGGAAUGAACCCUUAGUAUAGGAAAUGAUACUAAGCUGACAGUACCUUACCAGAAAGCCCCGGCUAACUACGUGCCAGCAGCCGCGGCAAUACGUAGGGGGCGAGCGUUAUCCGGAUUUAUUGGGCGUAAAGAGUAUGUAGGCGGUUUAUUAAGUAUAAGAUUAAAGGCUGGGGCUUAACCUCAGUUCGUCUUAUAAACUGAUAGACUUGAGUGUAGUAGAGGUAAACGGAAUUUCUAGUGUAGCGGUUAAAUGCGUAGAUAUUAGAAGGAACAUCAGUGGCGAAGGCGGUUUACUGGGCUAUUACUGACGCUGAGAUACGAAAGCAUGGGGAGCAAAUAGGAUUAGAUACCCUUGUAGUC